GCUUGCGGAAGCCGCUCAGCGGUCCAGUUGCCGGGAUGGUGCAAUUGUACAACCUCCACCCAUUCGGGUCGCAGCAGGUGGUACCCUGCCAGCGGGAGCCGGAGCAGUUCUGCUGUGGCGGGCCAGACGCGCUCUUCGUGGCUUCGGGCUGCAAAGUGGAGGCGUUCGCGGUGCAGGGAACAGAGUUGUGCCAACCGCGCUGUUCCUUCUCCACGCUGGGCAGGGUGCUGCGCAUGGCCUACAGUGAAGCCGGAGACUACCUGGUAGCAAUUGAAGAGAAAAGCAAAACUACAUUCCUGCGUGCUUACAUGAACUGGAGGAGUAAGAGAACUGAAAACUCCCGCGUGUGCAUUCGAAUGGUUGGGCACAAUGUGGAGGCACCCUUCUGUGAAAGCUUUAGAGAUCAGAUGUCUAUAAUUGAAAUGCCUUUGUCUGAGGCUCCUUUGUGCAUUUCAUGUUGUCCCGUGAAAGGAGAUCUACUUGUUGGCUGCACCAAUAAGUUAGUCUUAUUUACUUUGAAGUACUGUGUCAUUAAUGAGGAAUUCUCAGUGUUAGACUUCGAACGAUCAUUAAUUAUACACAUAGAUAAUAUCAUUCCUGUUGAAAUUUCUUUUUGUGUUGGUUAUGUUGCUGUCAUGUCUGACUUAGAAGUCUUAAUCCUAAAACUGGAGUCAGACCCUACAAAUGGAGAGAGAGUUAAACACCACCCUCAAAAGACCAACAGCCAACUGAAACAGAUGGAAGAUGCCAGUCAUGAAUCUUCACAGCUUGAAGCAGAGGAUUUUGUUAUCUGCCUAAAACCCAUGGAGCUUCUUGGUGAAAAGUGUGAACAGUCUGGAAUAUCUGUUAAACUGGAGUCCACAGGAUUGGCAGAUGAAAAAGUAAAAUAUUUAAGUGUACAGCACUUACUAUAUAGACGGUUUGCUCCCGAUAUUUCAUUCUAUGUCUUGUCUGAUAACAUCAAGUUACAUUCACUUCAGCUUCUUCCUAUUCACCAAACAGGUUUUCCUCCUGAUGGAAAAGUUUUGUCUCAGGAAAAAGAGCUGCUGAGCCUCUUCUGUUUCUUCUCAUUACCUCAUGUGGGCUAUCUGUACAUGGUUGUGAAAUCUGUUGAGUUAAUGUCAGUCUAUUGGUAUCCUGAGAAGUCUCAGCAAGCAGUACUCACACCACAGUUUUUGCAUGUAAUCACAAGUCAAAGUCUGCAGUGUUUCACAGUGCGGUGCAGCGCAGCAGUGGCUCAUGAGGAAGACCUGUACAUGGAUUCUACGUUGAAGGCUUGCCCACCUGUUAGUUUGGAUGUGUGUGCUCUAAGAAUACAGCUUUUUAUAGGCUUGAAAGCCAUCUGCCAUUUUAAAAACCAUAUCAUACUUCUGACCAAGGCAGACCCUGAAGCCAUUCCAGAGAGAAGAGAGUCACCCAAGAGGCUUCUGUCUAGAAAAGGUGCCAGUGUUAGGAGCAGAAUCCCUCCCAUACCUGAGGCUGGAUGGAGUCUGUAUAUUGUGAAUACCAUUGCACCAGUUCAGCUAUACAAAGAAAUGGUAGACUAUAGUAACACUUAUAAGACUGUGAAAACACAGAGCUGUAUCCACUUGCUCAGUGAGGCUCAUCUGUUAUUGAGAGCUGCCUUGAUGGACAGCAGUCACCUGGAACCUUCAGAGAAAGCAGAGCUUUUAGAAGCCUUUAAGGAAAGCUGUGGGCACCUUGGAGACUGUUACAGCAGGCUUGACACUGAGCAAUCCCACCUCGCCUUGCCGUACUAUAAGAUGUCUGGAUUGUCUCUGGCUGAAGUUUUGGCCCGUGUGGCCUGUACAGGAGAGUGUGAAUCACAGAAAUAUGAGAGAGGAUUAAUAUUUUAUAUUACCCAUUCACUUUAUGAAAACCUGGAUGAAGAAUUAAGUGAAGAAUUAGCAGCAAAAGUGGCUCAGAUAUUUCAUGUGGCUGAGCCGAAGCAACUGCCUCAUGUCCUCUGUAGUCCUUCUAUGAAGAAUAUUGAUCCUUUAACUGCCUUCCAUUAUUUAAAGACGCUAGAUACUUGUGAAUUUUCACCAGUCUUAAUGACCUUGACCAAGGCAGCAGUGGCCUUGAAAAUGGGAGAUCUUGACUUGUACAGAAAUGAAAUGAAGAGCCAUUCAGAGAUGAAGUUGGUAUAUGGCUUCAUUCUGGAACCUCGCCUGUUAAUUCAGCAGUGGAAAGGACAGAUUAUUCCUACUGAACUUGCAAUUCACUUGAAGGAAACUCAGCCUGGAUUGCUUGUAGCUUCAGUCCUGGGCUUACAGAAAAAUGGUAAAAUUGGAAUUGAAGAAGCAGAUUCUUUCUUUAAGGUGCUGUGUGGAAAAGAUGAAGACACAAUACCUCAGCUUUUGGUAGACUUCUGGGAAGCUCAGCUUGUAGCUUGUCUCCCAAAUAUGGUACUUCAGGAACUUUUCUUCAAGCUUACAUCUCAGUACAUCUGGAGGUUGUCUAAGAGGCAGUGUCCUGACACCAUACCAUUGAGAACAGCGGAGGAUUUGAUAAAUGCCUGCAGUCAUUAUGGCUUAGUCUAUCCAUGGGUUCAUGUCUUAUUAUCAUCUGAUUCAUUAGGUGAUAAAAAUUACACAGAAGACCUUUUGAAAUUACAGUCUCUCAUAUGUGGCCCUUCAUUUGAUGUAGCAUCCAUUAUUCCAUUUCUGGAGCCCCUCUCAGAAGAUACUGUUGCUGGCCUCAGUGCUCAUGUUCUAUGUCAUACAAGAUUACAGGAGUAUGAACAAUGCAUAGACACGUUGCUAGAGAGAUGCCCGGAGGCAGUCAUUGCAUAUGCUAAUCAGGAACUGAAGGAAGAACACUGGAUAGAUUCUGUGGUGGAAAAAACUGCUGCCUGAACUUUGUCAGAAAGUCAAGUGUGGUGGAGAGAAACACCAACUUUAUCUGUCAUCUUUAAAAGAAGCCUUGUCAGUCAUUGCUGUGGGACUAGACCUGAAGGAUUUCUUGAAUGUUCUCCCAGAAGAUGGUGCUGCAGCCUUUUUCCUGCCCUACCUUCUUUUUUGCAGCCGGAAGAAAUCACUGACUUGAAGUUAUCAUUUAUAAUAUAUAAGUGACUGUACUUUCAAUGCUCAGUCCUAGAUAAUAUAAUCCCAAAGGGUUUCAUGUUAAUGUGUAUUGCAGCUGUUUUAUGGUGCUUGCUUUCCUUACCAUGUAAUGAUAGCUAUUCACUUAAUCUAUAAGCUGAACCCACUUAUUUGUCUAGAAUGUAAAAAAACCUCAAGAUAGAAAAUCUCUUCACAUGCAUUUCCUUUUAGUUUUAAUUGUUUUUACUCUGUAUCCUAUGUGGGCCUAGAACUCAUUACAAAUCUUGUGCUGACCUCAAUCUAUGCAAAACUCCCAAGUGUCACAGGUGUGAAGUGACAUACAGGCAUUUUCAAAGCUGGACAAAGAGUUCUGUUAUGAAUAAUGUCACGUAUUCAGUGCUGUCUACAACCUGUAGACAGGCAUGACAAUCCUGUCCAUCCUAGAGUUACUGGAAGAAAAUGCAUUGCAAGUAUGCGCAAAUGCCCCUCUUGCUGAUCAAACAUUAUAUUCAUCAUUAGAGAUUUUUUAUUUGUAUUAUUAUUUGCUUUUUUUUUUCAUGUUAUGUAUGAGUAAGAUGUAAUGUUUCACUCUAGUGAAAGACUGCAUACUUGGCUUUUGAGCUACUUUUGAAACUCAUCGUGUGCUUCUCUCAGAAUUAGAUGAAUGUACUUAUUGGACAGUUAACAUGGCUUGUUGAGUGUACAUAUUUUCAGUCAAAGUCUUGUUUCUAUUUUUUAUAUGUAUAUACUCUCAAUCUUUCAACCACAGUAUGUGAGGAAAUAAAAAAAACUAUCACAAUGUUCACAUCUGUCUUUUUAAUAACUUUCUUGUUUGUUGGUUGGUUGGCUUUUUGAGACAAGGUUUCACUGUAUAACAGGCUUGGCUAUCCUAGAACU
RNA transcript from Phodopus roborovskii (desert hamster), 3941 nucleotides. It is a transcript of the gene named HPS3 biogenesis of lysosomal organelles complex 2 subunit 1, with no coding region annotated. The record is from RefSeq and is a predicted model, not a curated record. Lineage: Eukaryota; Metazoa; Chordata; Mammalia; Rodentia; Cricetidae. The transcript has 17 exons.